Long non-coding RNA from Sinocyclocheilus anshuiensis, 120 nucleotides. RefSeq lists it as uncharacterized. NCBI's taxonomy places the organism in Eukaryota, Metazoa, Chordata, Actinopteri, Cypriniformes, Cyprinidae. The record is from RefSeq and is a predicted model, not a curated record. The transcript has 3 exons.
UUGUUUUCAUCUCCUUAUGGCUUUUGAUAGCGUGCAGACUUUUUUCCAAGCUCUUCACCUUUGGAAUAAUGUGGGUAACCAAACAGUUGCUGGUCCCCCACUGACUUUAAUAGUAGGAAG